RNAcentral lists this microRNA (19 nucleotides) under Corchorus capsularis. RNAcentral describes it as "sRNA CCACVL1_10199". The record is from RNAcentral. Lineage: Eukaryota; Viridiplantae; Streptophyta; Magnoliopsida; Malvales; Malvaceae.
UGAGAGAAGAGAGUGAGCA